RNAcentral lists this transfer RNA (63 nucleotides) under Protochauliodes biconicus. RNAcentral's name for it is "tRNA-Leu". Lineage: Eukaryota; Metazoa; Arthropoda; Insecta; Megaloptera; Corydalidae. The record is from RNAcentral.
AUUAUUUUGGCAGAAUAGUGCAUUGAAUUUAGAAUUCAAGAAUGUAAUUUAUUACAAAUAAUA